RNAcentral lists this ribosomal RNA (469 nucleotides) under uncultured Legionellales bacterium. RNAcentral describes it as "bacterial SSU rRNA". It matches the Rfam family "Bacterial small subunit ribosomal RNA", at positions 337 to 798 of the family's 1533-position model. Lineage: Bacteria; Pseudomonadati; Pseudomonadota; Gammaproteobacteria; Legionellales. The record is from RNAcentral.
ACCUACGGGCGGCAGCAGUGGGGAAUAUUGGACAAUGGGCGAAAGCCUGAUCCAGCAAUACCGCGUGUGUGAAGAAGGCCUGCGGGUUGUAAAGCACUUUCAGUGGGGAGGAAUGUCUUAAUGUUAAUACCAUUGAGAAUUGACGUUACCCACAGAAGAAGCACCGGCUAACUCUGUGCCAGCAGCCGCGGUAAUACAGAGGGUGCGAGCGUUAAUCGGAAUUACUGGGCGUAAAGAGUGCGUAGGUGGUUGGAUAAGUCAGAUGUGAAAGCCCUGGGCUUAACCUGGGAAUUGCGUUUGAUACUGUUUAGCUAGAGGAUGGGAGAGGGAAGUGGAAUUUCCGGUGUAGCGGUGAAAUGCGUAGAUAUCGGAAGGAACACCAGUGGCGAAGGCGGCUUCCUGGACCAUAACUGACACUGAGGCACGAAAGCGUGGGGAGCGAACAGGAUUAGAUACCCUUGUAGUCCCU